Gorilla gorilla gorilla (western lowland gorilla) is the source of this 186-nucleotide unclassified non-coding RNA. The record is from Ensembl. NCBI's taxonomy places the organism in Eukaryota, Metazoa, Chordata, Mammalia, Primates, Hominidae.
UGGGCGGGCCCCAUCCGGUGAUUGAACCGGAGUUUUCCAUUUGUCCCCAGAACAAGUUCUGUGCUUCCGGCUGCAGUGCAGGCCUGCCCACAGUACCCUGCCAGCAUGUUUACGCCCUGACCUGGAGGGACCAGCUAAGGGUGAGAAUGUGACUCGCUCUCCAUGCCCAUCCCUUGCUUGUCUGGU